ACCAAUAUUUUAUACCUAAUAAAUAUUUGUUUGCUCAGAAUUGUUUUAAACCAUUUGCGAUUUCUACUUUAUCGCUUAUUACUUUAAGCUUGCACUUCCACUGAGGGUUUUUUUUUCCUGUGAUAAAAUGACAUCAUACAUUUUUCAGUACUGGCAGUGCCUGUUAUAGUGAAAUAAAAGUAUAAUAUAGUGAGUGGAAAAAUAGAUAACUCCAGAUCUCAUUUAAAUCAAUAUUUAAAAACAACAAGAGUCAGCUAGUCUAGAACAGAGGAGAACGGUAAUAAAGACAGACGUAGGAGUCUGCUUUGCGCAGCUACGUAGAAGCUAUUAAUUUAUAAAUUGCGACAACGUUAUAUCGUAAU
This 362-nucleotide small RNA is filed under the name Drosophila pseudoobscura pseudoobscura. RNAcentral describes it as "GA30638". The record is from RNAcentral. Lineage: Eukaryota; Metazoa; Arthropoda; Insecta; Diptera; Drosophilidae.